CAGAGGGCAGGGUGCUGGCUAACGGCCAGUCGAGGCGACUCGCAGGAAAGUGCCACAGAAAACAGACCGCCCGUUCCCGCAAGGGGGCGGGUAAGGGUGAAACGGUGCGGUAAGAGCGCACCGCGUCCGGGGUGACUCGGACGGCACGGUAAACCCCACCUGGAGCAAGAGCCAAUAGGAGCGCGUCCCCGAAAGGGGACAGGGAUGGCCCGUCCCAUGCGUUCGGGUUGCUCGCUGAUGAGGCCCCUGGGCAACCAGGGCCCUAGAUGAAUGUUCGCCGCCCAUCCCGAAAGGGGUGGGG
RNAcentral lists this unclassified non-coding RNA (301 nucleotides) under Corallococcus sp. 116804. RNAcentral's name for it is "partial RNAseP RNA". It matches the Rfam family "Bacterial RNase P class A", at positions 60 to 326 of the family's 367-position model. Rfam says of the family: Ribonuclease P (RNase P) is a ubiquitous endoribonuclease, found in archaea, bacteria and eukarya as well as chloroplasts and mitochondria. The record is from RNAcentral. Lineage: Bacteria; Pseudomonadati; Myxococcota; Myxococcia; Myxococcales; Myxococcaceae.